Molecule: non-coding RNA, 340 nt
Organism: Melanotaenia boesemani (Boeseman's rainbowfish)
Lineage: Eukaryota; Metazoa; Chordata; Actinopteri; Atheriniformes; Melanotaeniidae
Source: the annotation of a RefSeq genome assembly
UUUCAGAGACACUGAACACACCAGCAGCACAAUGAUGAUGUCACUGACUCUACUGCUGACCACCCUGGGGCUCCUUGUUCAGGGUUCAUCAGGACAAAUCAGUCUGGUUCAGACUCCUGGAGCUCAGUCUGUUACUCCAGGACAGACUGUCUCCAUUAAAUGUAAAGUUAGUCCAGGUACCAGUUAUUGCUUCAACUGGUACCUUCAGAAAUCAGGAGAAUCUCCCAAACUUCUUAUUUCUUGUACUAAUAGUCGUGAAUCUGGAGUUUCUGAUCGUUUCAGUGGAACAAGCUCUGGAAAUACUGACUUCACUCUGACCAUCAGCAGAGUUCAGGACUGA